UACGUAGGGUGCGAGCGUUAAUCGGAAUUACUGGGCGUAAAGCGUGCGCAGGCGGUGACCCAAGUCAGAUGUGAAAUCCCCGGGCUUAACCUGGGAACUGCAUUUGGAACUAGGUCGCUAGAGUAUGGCAGAGGGGGGUAGAAUUCCACGUGUAGCAGUGAAAUGCGUAGAUAUGUGGAGGAACACCAAUGGCGAAGGCAGCCCCUGGGAUAACACUGACGCUCAUGUACGAAAGCGUGGGUAGCAAACAGGAUUAGAAACCCGGGUAGU
Molecule: ribosomal RNA, 270 nt
Filed under: uncultured bacterium
Lineage: Bacteria
Description: partial 16S ribosomal RNA
Rfam family: Bacterial small subunit ribosomal RNA
Source: RNAcentral